GAUGAACGCUGGCGGCGUGCCUAAUACAUGCAAGUCGAGCGAACGGACGAGAAGCUUGCUUUUCUGAUGUUAGCGGCGGACGGGUGAGUAACACGUGGAUAACCUACCUAUAAGACUGGGAUAACUUCGGGAAACCGGAGCUAAUACCGGAUAAUAUUUUGAACCGCAUGGUUCAAAAGUGAAAGACGGUCUUGCUGUCACUUAUAGAUGGAUCCGCGCUGCAUUAGCUAGUUGGUAAGGUAACGGCUUACCAAGGCAACGAUGCAUAGCCGACCUGAGAGGGUGAUCGGCCACACUGGAGCUGAGACACGGUCCAGACUCCUACGGGAGGCAGCAGUAGGGAAUCUUCCGCAAUGGGCGAGAGCCUGACGGAGCAACGCCGCGUGAGUGAUGAAGGUCUUCGGAUCGUAAAACUCUGUUAUUAGGGAAGAACAUAUGUGUAAGUAACUGUGCACAUCUUGACGGUACCUAAUCAGAAAGCCACGGCUAACUACGUG
RNAcentral lists this ribosomal RNA (497 nucleotides) under uncultured bacterium. Its description in RNAcentral is "partial 16S ribosomal RNA". It matches the Rfam family "Bacterial small subunit ribosomal RNA", at positions 28 to 507 of the family's 1533-position model. The record is from RNAcentral.